GUCGAACGCUGGCGGCGUGCCUAAUACAUGCAAGUCGAACGCAGUGGGGACGGGUGAGUAACACGUGGGUAACCUCCCAUCAGAGGGGAUAACACUUGGAAACAGGUGCUAAACCGAUACUGAUGGAUGGACCCGCGGUGAAUUAGCUAGUUGGUGAGGUAACGGCUCACCAAGGCCACGAUCCAUAGACGGCCGGAGAGGAUGAUCGGCCAAACUGGGACUGAGAAACGGCCCAGACUCGUACGGGAGGCAGCAGUAGGGAAUCUUCGGCAAUGGACGAAAAACUGACCGAGCAACGCCGCGUGAGUGAAGAAGGUUUUCGGGUCGGAAAACACUUUUGUUAGAGAAGCGGUAUCUAACCAGAAAGCCGCGGCUAACUACGUGCCAGCAGCCGCGGUAAUUC
Molecule: ribosomal RNA, 403 nt
Filed under: uncultured bacterium
Lineage: Bacteria
Description: partial 16S ribosomal RNA
Rfam family: Bacterial small subunit ribosomal RNA
Source: RNAcentral